AUCUAUGACCAUGCCAUCCUUGAACGUGUCUGAUCUCGUCUGAUCUCAGAAGCUAAGCAGGCUAAGGCCUGGUUAGUACUUGGAUGGGAGACCACCUAGGAAUAGCAGGUGCUGUAGGUG
Molecule: ribosomal RNA, 120 nt
Filed under: Pteropus vampyrus (large flying fox)
Lineage: Eukaryota; Metazoa; Chordata; Mammalia; Chiroptera; Pteropodidae
Source: RNAcentral